UACGUAGGGAGCGAGCGUUGUUCGGAAUAACUGGGCGUAAAGAGCUCGUAGGUGGUUUGUCGCGUUGUCCGUGAAAACUCACAGCUUAACUGUGGGCGUGCGGGCGAUACGGGCAGACUGGAGUACUGCAGGGGAGACUGGAAUUCCUGGUGUAGCGGUGGAAUGCGCAGAUAUCAGGAGGAACACCGGUGGCGAAGGCGGGUCUCUGGGCAGUAACUGACGCUGAGGAGCGAAAGCGUGGGGAGCAAACGGG
Molecule: unclassified non-coding RNA, 253 nt
Filed under: uncultured Mycobacteriaceae bacterium
Lineage: Bacteria; Bacillati; Actinomycetota; Actinomycetes; Mycobacteriales; Mycobacteriaceae
Description: contains 16S-23S intergenic spacer region
Rfam family: Bacterial small subunit ribosomal RNA
Source: RNAcentral